GUCCACGCCGUAAACGAUGAGUGCUAGACGUCGGGGUUCACCUUCCGGUGUCGCAGCUAACGCUUUAAGCACUCCGCCUGGGGAGUACGGUCGCAAGAUUAAAACUCAAAGGAAUUGACGGGGCCCGCACAAGCGGUGGAGCAUGUGGUUUAAUUCGAAGCAACGCGAAGAACCUUACCAGCCCUUGACUUGGGGAGUGUGGGUCGCAGAGAUGUGACCCUUCAGUUCGGCUGGCUCCCACACAGGUGCUGCAUGGCUGUCGU
Molecule: ribosomal RNA, 263 nt
Filed under: uncultured bacterium
Lineage: Bacteria
Description: partial 16S ribosomal RNA
Rfam family: Bacterial small subunit ribosomal RNA
Source: RNAcentral